RNAcentral lists this ribosomal RNA (497 nucleotides) under uncultured bacterium. RNAcentral describes it as "partial 16S ribosomal RNA". It matches the Rfam family "Bacterial small subunit ribosomal RNA", at positions 28 to 507 of the family's 1533-position model. The record is from RNAcentral.
GAUGAACGCUGGCGGCGUGCCUAAUACAUGCAAGUCGAGCGAACAGACGAGGAGCUUGCUCCUCUGACGUUAGCGGCGGACGGGUGAGUAACACGUGGAUAACCUACCUAUAAGACUGGGAUAACUUCGGGAAACCGGAGCUAAUACCGGAUAAUAUAUUGAACCGCAUGGUUCAAUAGUGAAAGACGGUUUUGCUGUCACUUAUAGAUGGAUCCGCGCCGCAUUAGCUAGUUGGUAAGGUAACGGCUUACCAAGGCGACGAUGCGUAGCCGACCUGAGAGGGUGGUCGGCCACACUGGAACUGAGACACGGUCCAGACUCCUACGGGAGGCAGCAGUAGGGAAUCUUCCGCAAUGGGCGAAAGCCUGACGGAGCAAUGCCGCGUGAGUGAUGAAGGUCUUCGGAUCGUAAAACUCUGUUAUUAGGGAAGAACAAAUGUGUAAGUAACUAUGCACGUCUUGACGGUACCUAAUCAGAAAGCCACGGCUAACUACGUG